This 73-nucleotide transfer RNA is filed under the name Phormidium tenue NIES-30. It matches the Rfam family "tRNA". From Rfam's summary of the family: Transfer RNA (tRNA) molecules are approximately 80 nucleotides in length. Lineage: Bacteria; Bacillati; Cyanobacteriota; Cyanophyceae; Oscillatoriales; Oscillatoriaceae. The record is from Rfam by way of RNAcentral. RNAcentral also lists the same sequence under 15 other names.
GGGCGUGUGGCUCAGUGGAUAGAGCACGUGGCUACGGACCACGGGGUCGGGGGUUCGAAUCCCUCCACGCCCG